Apis mellifera (honey bee) is the source of this 2555-nucleotide long non-coding RNA. RefSeq lists it as uncharacterized. The record is from RefSeq and is a predicted model, not a curated record. The transcript has 4 exons. NCBI's taxonomy places the organism in Eukaryota, Metazoa, Arthropoda, Insecta, Hymenoptera, Apidae.
AAUAAGUAAUUUAAUAUAGAAAUCAUUUUUAAACUAAGCAUUUAUAAGUUUUUAUUACAAAAAUAUUUCAUAUUUUUUUUAUGAUUUUUACAUUGCAGAGGCUGUUAUGAUACUAACUAUUGCAUGAUAUCAUACUUGUAAGGACAUAAGAUUUUCCAAAAGAGAACAAUAAUCGACCUCACUCAAGAUGAAUGACAUCGAAGUCUGCGUAAGCGGCUACGUGCUCCGAUGUUGAGGAACAUCAGCAAGGGCGCUAGCCGCAGAAAGCAGUAGAGGUUAGGUAUGGCCAGGACGGUAUGUUCCAGGCAGUGGAGAGAAGUGUAUCCGGAGAGAGCACCCGGGCCGGGUAGGUAGGUAUACAUAGGUAGGUAGAGCGCAGAGGCAGACGAGAAGAGACGACCGCUUGAAAUCCCUUUCUCCUUCCCGCCUUUCCUGCCUGCUUCUCUCUACCGCCCGCCCGCCAUGCCACUACGAGCGAGCGAACGUACAGCUAGGCCGGCACAGUCCUGUAGCCCAUUUGGCAUUUCCCCAGCUAUAGCGGCGGUCCUGUAGCCCAUCGUUGUUAUCGUCCCGCAGCUGCAUAAAGUCGGCUCUGCCUCCUCUUACCCCUCUGACCCUCACCAUAGCUGUCGACCAACCGCCCGUCCACUCCCCUCCCCUCUUCUAUUUCGCUCACCUCACUGCUCAACAUCAACGUUUCUUCCUCUAUCUCUCUCUCUCUUCCCUUUCUCUCUCUAUUCUUCCUUCUCUUACCAGCCUGCCGACCUGAUCGUGUUGCCCUCCUUCCUCCCUCCACCCGUACCGAUGCUCCGACCAAUCCCCUUCCUUGUCGCCCCAUGAGCUCGUUGUCCGCCGUUCACUUCUCUCUCCCACAAGCCUGCCAGCCUGACGUUUCCCCCACUAUGUCCCUUACUACUACGAACAUAGCCUUAUUCUACAUCGUUACUGCUACUCACACAUAUACUACCACAUUGAUAGCACGUUUCUACAGCGACGCAACGGUGGCGCCGCCAGACAGGGACGCUUCGAAACGUUUUUACCCUCCUCUCUUCACCCGUCUGAUCCAAGUCCAUAUACCGCCGACGACGCCUGAUGCUGCCGUGCUGCGGUAUAUACUCGCGCACCGUCCUUGUCAUUCUAUCGAUUCCCUCCCUUCCUCCUUCCUCUCUCAUCCAACCUCUUCUCAUCCUACUCGUCAUGUGCCCCCUCUUUCGCUUUUCUCUCUGCGUCUCACUGGGCAGCCAACUUGCCUGUCUGCUUGCCUGGCUUGCCUGACUGCCUUGCUCGUUUACUUACUUGCUUGCAUGCUAGUCUGCCUGCUAGGUUGCUAGCCUGCUUGCUUGGCCCGCUUGCUUCGUUCAACCUCUAUGUCGGUAACCUUGGUGGAGAAUAACCCGCCGUUCAAUUCAAGGAAUUAUGACGGCCCCUCGAUUUUCUCUUUUUCUAUUUGCUAGCCCCUCUUUUUCGUUCUUUGUCACUAGUUUCCUUUCCUAUCUUUCUUUCUCUCUUGCUUCGAGAUGAGAAGAGAGUAAAGUACUUCUUUACUUUAGUCGUUGGUGCUCAUCUAUGCUGAUAUUUACGCGCCUAUGAGCCUCGCGUAGCCAGCGCCGCCAUUACGAAAACUUCAUGAUGUUCUUUGAUAUAGAAGCAAACCAAAGAUUAUCACAUAUAUAAUAUGAAAAGAUGGCUGCAUUGGCGUAACCAGUCAAUGAUCGAUCGGCUGGAAAUCUCUGCAACGAAACCAGGCAAAAUUAACUCUUGAGAUACUCUUCGUGUGUCUCACGGGCCCUUCAGUCACUUGAAAUUAUCGACGAGCGCGGGAAACCGGUGACUUCUGUAACGACUAUUAUCACCGAGGGUCUGGACUGGACGUCGAGCUAACAAGAGUAGGGACGACGCUCGAGGAGGGUACCGAGGUCGCGGUCGCGGUCGCGACUUCCGGUUCUUGAAGGCGCGUACGCGCCAGCUCGGAGACGCCGUGGGAACCGACUUCCUCCGCGAAGACACAGUCGUGGCGAGAACAGUCGAGUUGGACAAGUACUGGUGGCAUGGUUUCGAGAUUUCGGGCGCGCCAGCCGUCCUUGGCUUCGUCGUGCACGACGUCGGGACUCGUGACGGUCCUUGAGGCCGACGAAGGUUGCAGGAUUACAUGACGCCAAUGCUAAGAGCCUCUGAAACCUCCUGACACGCGAGAAUGCCGCGCGAAUACGCAAGGAGGAUCGUUCGCGGUCGCGAUCGUUCAGCGAAAAAAAUUUCGACCCCGACUCCGUUGGAUCGGAGACGAAGAUCAAUGGUGAAACUCGUGAAACUCGUGGGUGGCUGUGGAAAGGGAGAACGGGGGAUGAAUCAUCCGGAUCCCUUUGUCCUGCGUUCGGGGCGGUGAAACGCGCGGGAAACGUGGUAAAUUUCGCUCAUAUCCAUUUUGAUCUUUUGAAAAUCGAUCUUUAUGGAAUGAAUGGAACGAAAUUGCUUCGUUUUUUUUUCUUUUGUUCUUCGUGUAAAUAUCUGUUGUGUAUAUUUCGAUGAUGAUAAAAUAAGCGAUAUUGUAAAUUUUA